GGACUUGCUUUGACAGCUCAUAUACUAAAAUUGGAAUGAUACAGAGAAGAACAGUGUGACUUUUGUAUGAGAUGACAUGCAAAUUCUUGAAACGCUCCAUAUUUUU
Molossus molossus (Pallas's mastiff bat) is the source of this 106-nucleotide small nuclear RNA. NCBI's taxonomy places the organism in Eukaryota, Metazoa, Chordata, Mammalia, Chiroptera, Molossidae. The record is from RefSeq and is a predicted model, not a curated record.